AUGGCCCAUGCAGGGUGGCCCCAGGGGAAGCCCCGUACCGUGGCCGAGUACUGCUGGGGAGCGCUGACAGUGCCUGUCCUUCCCUUGCAGCUCGGAGCCAGUGAAGGAUGUGGAACCCCAACCAAGGACCACCACCUCCACAGGUGCAAAUCUGCCCGCCUGCCCCUCCGACAUACCCAUACCCAGGGCCCUGCAAUCCAGCUGGGCCCUGCCCUGGCUACCCGGCAGUGCCACCCAGCGCCCCUGGGGCCUGUCAACCAGGACACCCAGGUCCCUGUCAACCAGGACACCCAGGUCCCUGUGGCCCCCCACCACCUGGCCACCACCCACCAGGCCACCACCCGCCGGGCCACCACCCACCAGGCCACCACCACCACGGGCAUCCCCCCCCAGGGAUGCCGGGGUGCCCACCAGUCCACCCUGGCUGCCAUCAGAAACACCAUAAGAAGCACAAGAAGAAGCACUCCAAGUCCCACAAGCACCACGGUGGCAAGCACUCAAGCAGCUCGAGCAGCUCGAGCAGUUCUGAUUCUGACUGAAGACAACAUGUUCCACCUGCAUGGUGGUGAAGCCCUGGAGGAGACAGCAUAUGAAGACAAAUGUCCCACGGGAACCACCUGCUUGUUGUUCUGCCCCUUUCUGCCGUCUCCGCAGUCUGCAUUUUGCCUGUCGAGUGAUUUUUUUGCUUUUAGUUUGUAA
This 699-nucleotide long non-coding RNA is filed under the name Anser cygnoides (Swan goose). RNAcentral describes it as "lncRNA (ENSACDG00005011841.1)". Lineage: Eukaryota; Metazoa; Chordata; Aves; Anseriformes; Anatidae. The record is from RNAcentral.